CCCAAGUGCGGGGGAGAGAGCGCGCGCGAGCGAGGAACGUAAAAAGAAACGUGUGAGGCACUGAGUCCGAGGACAGAGUUUGUACGUAAACUUCCUUUUCAAUCCGAUUCUGGAUGAUAUCAUUGGGUUUCCACGAGUGUACUAGAAAAGACAGAGGAAGAGCCGGAACAACAAUGCCGUUGUUUCGAGGACGGAGACAACCCUAUUUCCCUGAAGACGGCCCCGAGUUCUUCAAAGUUUUCCUUCCCUUUACCUGCUCUCACGAAAUAUCUAUCCCACCCACAUUUAUCAAGCACUUCACUGGAAACAUACCAAAGAAGGCCAUUCUCAUUGAUCAUACCGGAAACUCUUGGCCUGUUGAACUGGACCAAAUUGGCAGCCGCUUGUGUUUCAAGUGUGGCUGGCAACAGUUUGCAAGUGAUCAUUCUCUGGAAUUUGGGGACUUUCUUAUAUUCAAAUACAAUAGAAGUAAUGUGUUUAAAGUCAAGAUAUUCAAUAAAACUGGAUGCAUGAAAUAUGAAGCUGAAGCUAUGGGUAAGGCUCUUCCAUGUCUGACCCCUGAAGAAGAUUCUACAGCAGGGCAGACUUGUGGUAGAUUGACUCGUGGUGGCAAACGAAAGCUUUUGCAGAUAGGUCUCAAGACCAAUGAAGAGGCAGGAGUUUCAUCAAAAGCUAAUCAACAUAAAUCAAGAAGAAUUGCUGGAGCAAAUCUUGAACAAAACAAGAGCCCUAAAGUGGCCCGAGUUGUUGCACCAAAGAAUCCAUAUUUUGUUACAUCCAUUACUAAAUUUAUGCGAUAUACCUUGUGUGUUCGUAGAUCUGUGGUGAAUGCGUAUAACAUCAAGCUGAAGCAAGAAGUGGUAAUUCGCGGUCCAAAUGAAGAGAAAUGCCCUGUGAAAAUCGUUAAAAGGUCGAAUGGUCGAAUCAUGAUCGCGAAUGGGUGGUCUUAUUUUGUAGAGAAGAAUGCUGUACAACCUAAAGACCAAUGUGUGUUUGAGUUUAUCCUUGGAAGAGGAAAUACAUGCAGAGAAAUGCGUGUUCAAAUUCUUCGUGGAAAUGCAAGAUUCAAGAAGUUACCUAAGGAUUGGUUGUAUAGGGAGAAGGCAUGAUAUACAAAAAAAUCCACCCCCAACCCCCAAGUGCGGCCCAACUUCAUGGUAGAAAUGCAAACCCAACAGUGCUUGUUCUCAUGGCACGAGACAACUUUUCUCAAUUCCGCUUUGCAACACAUACCUGUUGACUCUCUCUGGCCACUUAUCCAAGCCACCAUGAAUGGUUCCCUCAAGAUUUUGGGUUUGAAGGCGGCAUUUCUGCAGAAAUUUCUUCUUUUAGCCCACCAACAAAUGCUCCAAUUUAAGCCCUUUGUGGCCAAUUGACAACUUCUUCAACAAGUCUUUCAAAUUCAUAAUAUCAUUCUCUCAAUGUUUCUUACUGCCUGAUGCAUAGGUAGCUUUGUCAAAAUUUGCAUAUUCUAUAUAACUAAACUGUACUGCAUAUGCUCCACUAAAAUCCCUUCCUCCCUCUUUCCUUGAGGGUUUUGGUAAUGGGAAAAAUUAUACUGUCAUUAACUAGCAUCCAA
Molecule: RNA transcript, 1579 nt
Organism: Carya illinoinensis
Lineage: Eukaryota; Viridiplantae; Streptophyta; Magnoliopsida; Fagales; Juglandaceae
Gene name: putative B3 domain-containing protein At5g66980
Exons: 5
Source: RefSeq, a predicted model, not a curated record